GCUACGGGAGGCAGCAGUGAGGAAUAUUGGUCAAUGGCCGCAGGGCUGAACCAGCCAAGUCGCGUGAGGGAUGACGGGCCUAUGGAUUGUAAACCUCUUUUGUCAGGGAGCAAAGGGCGCCACGUGUGGCGUUUUGCGAGUACCUGAAGAAAAAGCAUCGGCUAACUCCGUGCCAGCAGCCGCGGUAAUACGGAGGAGGCGAGCGUUAUCCGGAUUUAUUGGGUUUAAAGGGUGCGUAGGCGGUUCGAUAAGUUAGAGGUGAAAUCCCGGGGCUCAACCCCGGCACUGCCUCUGAUAAUGUCGGGCUAGAGUUUAGUUGCGGUAGGCGGAAUGUAUGGUGUAGCGGUGAAAUGCAUAGAGAUCAUACAGAACACCGAUUGCGAAGGCAGCUUACCAAACUACGACUGACGUGGAGGCACGAAAGCGUGGGGAGCAAACAGGAUUAGAUACCCUAGUAGUC
RNAcentral lists this ribosomal RNA (460 nucleotides) under uncultured bacterium. RNAcentral's name for it is "partial 16S ribosomal RNA". It matches the Rfam family "Bacterial small subunit ribosomal RNA", at positions 338 to 795 of the family's 1533-position model. The record is from RNAcentral.